RNAcentral lists this unclassified non-coding RNA (334 nucleotides) under soil metagenome. Its description in RNAcentral is "partial contains 5.8S ribosomal RNA, internal transcribed spacer 2, and large subunit ribosomal RNA". The stretch from base 1 to 120 matches the Rfam family "5.8S ribosomal RNA", at positions 35 to 154 of the family's 154-position model. The record is from RNAcentral.
GAUGAAGAACGUAGCGAAAUGCGAUAAGUAAUGUGAAUUGCAGAAUUCAGUGAAUCAUCGAAUCUUUGAACGCACAUUGCGCCCGCCAGUAUUCUGGCGGGCAUGCCUGUUCGAGCGUCAUUUCAACCAUCAAGCCCUGCUUGCGUUGGGGUCCUGCGGCUGCCCGCAGGCCCUGAAAACCAGUGGCGGGCUCGCUAGUCACACCGAGCGCAGUAAUACAUCUCGCUUUGGGCGUGCGGCGGGUUCUUGCAGUUAAACACCCCCUUUUUACCAAGGUUGACCUCGGAUCAGGUAGGAAUACCCGCUGAACUUAAGCAUAUCAAUAAGCGGAGGA